Molecule: ribosomal RNA, 301 nt
Filed under: uncultured bacterium
Lineage: Bacteria
Description: partial 16S ribosomal RNA
Rfam family: Bacterial small subunit ribosomal RNA
Source: RNAcentral
CAGUCGCCACGGUAAUACGAAGGGUGCAAGCGUUAAUCGGAAUUACUGGGCGUAAAGCGUGCGUAGGCGGUGAGUUAAGUCUGCUGUGAAAUCCCCGGGCUCAACCUGGGAAUGGCAGUGGAUACUGGCUCGCUAGAGUGUGUCAGAGGAUGGUGGAAUUCCCGGUGUAGCGGUGAAAUGCGUAGAGAUCGGGAGGAACAUCAGUGGCGAAGGCGGCCAUCUGGGACAACACUGACGCUGAGGCACGAAAGCGUGGGGAGCAAACAGGAUUAGAUACCCCCGUAGUCCCUGUCUCUUAUAU